UNNGGAGCUCUCCCAUAUGGUCGACCUGCAGGCGGCCGCGAAUUCACUAGUGAUUAGAGUUUGAUCCUGGCUCAGAUUGAACGCUGGCGGCGUGCUUAACACAUGCAAGUCGAACGUGAAAGUCCUUCGGGGCGAGUAAAGUGGCGCACGGGUGAGUAACGCGUGGAUAAUCUACCCUUAAGAUGGGGAUAACGGCUGGAAACGGUCGCUAAUACCGAAUACGCUCCCGAUUUUAUCGUUGGGGGGAAAGAUGGCCUCUGCUUGCAAGCUAUCGCUUAAGGAUGAGUCCGCGUCCCAUUAGCUAGUUGGCGGGGUAACGGCCCACCAAGGCGACGAUGGGUAGCCGGUCUGAGAGGAUGACCGGCACACUGGAACUGGAACACGGUCCAGACUCCUACGGGAGGCAGCAGUGGGGAAUAUUGCGCAAUGGGCGAAAGCCUGACGCAGCGACGCCGCGUGAGGGAUGAAGGUUCUCGGAUCGUAAACCUCUGUCAGGGGGGAAGAAACCCCCUCGUGUGAAUAAUGCGAGGGCUUGACGGUACCCCCAAAGGAAGCACCGGCUAACUCCGUGCCAGCAGCCGCGGUAAUACGGAGGGUGCAAGCGUUAAUCGGAAUCACUGGGCGUAAAGCGCACGUAGGCGGCUUGGUAAGUCAGGGGUGAAAUCCCACAGCCCAACUGUGGAACUGCCUUUGAUACUGCCAGGCUUGAGUACCGGAGAGGGUGGCGGANUUCCAGGUGUAGGAGUGAAAUCCGUAGAUAUCUGGAGGAACACCGGUGGCGAAGGCGGCCACCUGGNCGGUAACUGACGCUGAGGUGCGAAAGCGUGGGUAGCAAACAGGANUANAUACCCUGGUAGUCCACGCUGUAAACGAUGGGUGCUGGGUGCUGGGAUGUAUGUCUCGNUGCCNNNNNNACGCGAUAAGCACCCC
This 930-nucleotide ribosomal RNA is filed under the name uncultured Bilophila sp. RNAcentral describes it as "bacterial SSU rRNA". It matches the Rfam family "Bacterial small subunit ribosomal RNA", at positions 1 to 870 of the family's 1533-position model. The record is from RNAcentral. Lineage: Bacteria; Pseudomonadati; Thermodesulfobacteriota; Desulfovibrionia; Desulfovibrionales; Desulfovibrionaceae.